CUACGAAAGCGUACCUGCAUUUGUGUGGACGGUUCAUGGGAUUAAGUUUGACUCAGAGAUUCCAAAUGACCUUCAUAUAAAGCACCCACAGGAGCUAGGUGACUUCAACCCCCAUCAAUAAUAAUAUUUAAUGAUCGGGAGACAUCAAGACCCCGAAUCGAAGUCCAAGCAGUGUGGCUCAACGGUGAGAUUAUAUUCUCACUUGAUGGUGUGAGAAUCAAACUGGCAUUGUAUGCUUCAAUCAGGGAUUCAAAACUUUUAAUUUGUCAGAGCAUUCACGUUACCUGCGCAAUCCGUCGACCGUCGAUAAACCAUUCUCCGUCUUGAAAUCCACGCCGUACGCCUGGAGCCCAUAAGGGAUCGUAUUCAUGCAGCAGCCGAUCCCGUUCACGAAGUCAUUGUGGCUGCCAGUCCCAUUGAUGGCGCAAGUCGACCUGCAGCCGCCAACCGCCGACUGCAUGCCGAUGUUGACCAUGAACGCCAGGUUGCUGCACCCUCCGGACACGAUCACAUUCUUUGUCUGCACGUACAUGUAGGGACUCCUUGUCAAGUUCAACGAUGUCGUGAUGUCGCCGUUCACUGCUCCGCCCGUGCAGUAUGGCAGGUCCGGCUCAGAGUAGACGACCGGCUGAGAGACGUCAAUGAAUCUGCCGGGAGCUCCGGAGUCGUCCAGCACGGGAAGGGAAAUGUCGAGCACUGUUACAUUCAUGAGGUUCUACAACGUGGCAACAGGGUACCAUUGCUGCCAAGGUGGCACUCGAUCUCAUAGAGUUCAUCCAGGAAGCAGCUGGACCCGAUCCCGAAAGGGAAUGGAACCGUCAAGUUACCACACGUGGCGGCACAGUUGGGCAGGGCCACCGGGGGAAGUGGGCCUUGUACUUCAUCGGCAGCAGAAAGAGAAGGACAUAAACAGCGACUAGUUUGAUCACCACUCGCAGUAUCAUUGUGAUCAUCAUCCUGAUUUCGUUUUGAUUUGUUGGUGGGAGUGCUUUGCUCCCAAUGUGUUUUCAGUUUGAAGCUGAGAGAAGAAUGAGAGGAUUGGUCUUUAUAUACAUAAACACGCGAUGCACGAUUGAGAGCGCUUCCAUUGUUGACAGUGAUGAUAACUUCUAGAUUUUGGCUUCCUCUAGGCCGCUGGUAACGAGGUUUGUUUCGUAUUGUUAA
Molecule: long non-coding RNA, 1164 nt
Organism: Syzygium oleosum
Lineage: Eukaryota; Viridiplantae; Streptophyta; Magnoliopsida; Myrtales; Myrtaceae
Exons: 2
Source: RefSeq, a predicted model, not a curated record